UUACAGAUAAAAUAUGAAACUUUACCAAAGAGUCAAUCAUCGCUCCACCAUAAAAAAUGAAUCGAUACGUAAUGUGACGAUACCACUCCAUGUAGUCAUCAUAAUAGUCCAUCAUACCAUCGACCGCUAGACCGUCUACAAUAUAAUCUUACCGACUCUGUCAGAUUGCAAUCCACUGCUGAUGAAUUCUUCUCCAGUCA
RNAcentral lists this long non-coding RNA (200 nucleotides) under Elaeis guineensis (African oil palm). RNAcentral's name for it is "long non-coding RNA (EGUI_LNC013800)". The record is from RNAcentral. Lineage: Eukaryota; Viridiplantae; Streptophyta; Magnoliopsida; Arecales; Arecaceae.